This 94-nucleotide transfer RNA is filed under the name Stenotrophomonas maltophilia. RNAcentral's name for it is "tRNA-OTHER". The record is from RNAcentral. RNAcentral also lists the same sequence under 1 other name. Lineage: Bacteria; Pseudomonadati; Pseudomonadota; Gammaproteobacteria; Lysobacterales; Lysobacteraceae.
GGCCUCGAUGUAGUGAGCCUGUCGACGCUUCAGGAACCUGGAAAUCUCCGCCUUGAUGGGAAGGUCGCCCGUUCGAAUCGGGCCGGGGUCACCA